CACGGGAGGCAGCAGUGAGGAAUAUUGGUCAAUGGGCGGGAGCCUGAACCAGCCAAGUCGCGUGAGGGAAGACGGUCCUAUGGAUUGUAAACCUCUUUAGGCGGGGAGCAAUGCCGGGCACGCGUGCCCGGAGGGAGAGUACCCGCAGAAUAAGCAUCGGCUAACUCCGUGCCAGCAGCCGCGGUAAUACGGAGGAUGCGAGCGUUAUCCGGAUUUAUUGGGUUUAAAGGGUGCGUAGGCUGUGAGGUAAGUCAGCGGUGAAAUGCCCCCGCUCAACGGGGUGAAGUGCCAUUGAUACUGCCUUG
RNAcentral lists this ribosomal RNA (305 nucleotides) under uncultured bacterium. RNAcentral describes it as "bacterial SSU rRNA". It matches the Rfam family "Bacterial small subunit ribosomal RNA", at positions 340 to 640 of the family's 1533-position model. The record is from RNAcentral.